Molecule: ribosomal RNA, 274 nt
Filed under: uncultured bacterium
Lineage: Bacteria
Description: partial 16S ribosomal RNA
Rfam family: Bacterial small subunit ribosomal RNA
Source: RNAcentral
AUACGAAAGGUGCAAGCGUUGUUCGGAUUUACUGGGCGUAAAGAGAUCGUAGGUGGUUUGUUAAGUCGGAUGUGAAAUCCCGGGGCUCAACCCCGGAACUGCAUUCGAUACUGGCAGACUAGAGUUUGGGAGGGGUAAGCGGAAUUCCGUGUGUAGCAGUGAAAUGCGUAGAUAUACGGAGGAACACCUGAGGCGAAGGCGGCUUACUGGACCAAUACUGACACUGAGGAUCGAAAGCGUGGGUAGCAAACAGGAUUAGAAACCCUUGUAGUCC